GUGCUGCAAUAUCAUCACUGGAAGAAAUCUCUCAUUCUUACAUCACAGGAAAUCCUCUGAAGUAUAUUCUCUAGCCACAUUUCUUCCGUGAAAUGGUUUACUGUAGAGUUAUACAACCUGCAUUAGCAAAAGGAGGAAAGACAGCCUGGAGUAUUCAGCAAAAUAAAGCUCUUGAACACAUUUCUUGUAAGGGUAACUUAUCCAAUCCUAAUCAAUUCCUGUGCAUACAAGGAAAGCAGGAGGGAAAUAGAAAACAGAAGGUAAAUUUAAAAGCAGCACGUCUGAAGGAAAUGCUCAGAAGUUUCCAUUUAAAUACAUUUGUGACUUCAGUAAGGUCUUGUGUUCAUUUAAGCAUCUCCCUGGAGGAAACCAUAUCUUUGCCAAAAGAUUUGACUGAAAUAUUGAAGAAUCCUAGUCAGCAAUCUACACAAGAAGCAGUGGUUCUUAAUAAAUAUGAAAGGCUGGAAUGA
RNAcentral lists this long non-coding RNA (470 nucleotides) under Anas platyrhynchos platyrhynchos (common mallard). RNAcentral describes it as "lncRNA (ENSAPLG00000030434.1)". Lineage: Eukaryota; Metazoa; Chordata; Aves; Anseriformes; Anatidae. The record is from RNAcentral.